AUUGAACGCUGGCGGAAUGCUUUACACAUGCAAGUCGAACGGCAGCACGGGGCAACCUGGUGGCGAGUGGCGAACGGGUGAGUAAUACAUCGGAACGUGCCCAAUCGUGGGGGAUAACGUAGCGAAAGUUACGCUAAUACCGCAUACGAUCUACGGAUGAAAGCGGGGGAUCGCAAGACCUCGCGCGAAUGGAGCGGCCGAUGUCAGAUUAGGUAGUUGGUGGGGUAAAGGCUCACCAAGCCAACGAUCUGUAGCUGGUCUGAGAGGACGACCAGCCACACUGGAACUGAGACACGGUCCAGACUCCUACGGGAGGCAGCAGUGGGGAAUUUUGGACAAUGGGCGCAAGCCUGAUCCAGCCAUUCCGCGUGCAGGAUGAAGGCCUUCGGGUUGUAAACCGCUUUUGUACGGAACGAAACGGUCUGCCCUAAUACGGCGGGCUAAUGACGGUACCGUAAGAAUAAGCACCGGCUAACUACGUGCCAGCAGCCGCGGUAACACCAUACC
RNAcentral lists this ribosomal RNA (507 nucleotides) under uncultured bacterium. RNAcentral's name for it is "bacterial SSU rRNA". It matches the Rfam family "Bacterial small subunit ribosomal RNA", at positions 30 to 531 of the family's 1533-position model. The record is from RNAcentral.